CCUACGGGUGGCCGCAGUCGAGAAUACUUCACAAUGGGGGAAACCCUGAUGUUGCGACGCCGCGUGGGGGAAUGAAGGUCUUCGUAUUUUAAGCCCCUGUCGUAUGGGAGCAAAUGAGAAAUAUAGGACCACAAGAGGAAGAGACGUCUAACUCUGUGCCAGCAGCCGCGGUAGUACAGAGGUCUCAAGCGUUGUUCGAAAUCACUGGUCGUAAAGCGGGCGUAGGCUGUUUCGUAGGUCGUGUGUGAAAGGCGCGGGCUUAACCCGCGGACGGCACAUGAUACUGCGAGACUAGAGUAAUGGAGGGGGAACUGGAAUUCCCGGUGUAGCAGUGAAAUGCGUAGAUAUUGAGAGGAACACUAGUGGCGAAGGCGGGUUCCUGGACAUUAACUGACGCUGAGGCACGAAGGCCAGGGGAGCGAAAGGGAUUAGAUACCCGGGUAGUC
Molecule: ribosomal RNA, 446 nt
Filed under: uncultured bacterium
Lineage: Bacteria
Description: partial 16S ribosomal RNA
Rfam family: Bacterial small subunit ribosomal RNA
Source: RNAcentral